AGCUAAAAGAUGAGAAGGUCAAGAGGGAAGUCUAGGGCAAUUUGGAUAGGUUAGAAAUUGUAAAGCAGUUGCACAAGGAUUCUUGUUGAUGGCUGAGAAUUUGAAGGUGACAUCCCAAUUGGGAUUGCUUCUUUGUGUGUGGGAAUAAAAAAUAUUUUAGAGUGGGUUUUGAGGCAGAUGAAGAAGGUCGCUAUGUUGUUUAGGAUUCACUUUCAUGGCAGUGAAGAAGUGUUGGUAUCAUUUAGCUAUUGAAACAAGCCAAUCAC
RNAcentral lists this long non-coding RNA (266 nucleotides) under Carica papaya (papaya). RNAcentral's name for it is "long non-coding RNA (CPAP_LNC015606)". The record is from RNAcentral. Lineage: Eukaryota; Viridiplantae; Streptophyta; Magnoliopsida; Brassicales; Caricaceae.